Pungitius pungitius (ninespine stickleback) is the source of this 688-nucleotide long non-coding RNA. RefSeq lists it as uncharacterized. Lineage: Eukaryota; Metazoa; Chordata; Actinopteri; Perciformes; Gasterosteidae. The transcript has 6 exons. The record is from RefSeq and is a predicted model, not a curated record.
UCUGUGCGCGCGCACACGUGAAACAGUGUUGCCAACUUAGCGACUUUGUCGCUAUAUUUAGCGACUUUUCAGACCCAUCCAGCGACACAUUUUUUAAAAAGCGAUAAAUCUAGAGACUUUUCCUGACGUUAUUGGCGACUUUUGGUGAAGUGAAAAGAACGUAUCGUUCCAACGCUUCUUCUCAACGAGCAGCGGGUGCUGUCGUGAACCUCCCCCCUUCCCAAAGCAAGAAAGGGCAGGCAAACGGUCCGAUGGGAAAAGCGUCGAUUCCCCCCCACUCACUGUGGGGAGAUCAGUCAGGUGACUUUGUGGCAGGGCAGCGAGCCCGUCAAGGUCACCUGGGGAUGUACACAGGACAGUGGAGAUGUUCCUCCCAGCUGCUGCACCUGAGUUCCUGAGUUCUCCUUCCACCUUCACCCAAUUCUAUACAUUGUAACAAGCCAAACGACAGCUGCACCAGACGAUCCUUCGCCUCCUACGAAGUCUACAGAGGGCUGCCACAUUCCCUCACAGCGCCACACAGGUCUCCGUCCUCCACAUUGUUACGCCUCCACCCCGGCUCGGAAGAGGAGGUGGGGCGUAACUGCCCAAGACCACGCCUGUUGGAUGCCGGAACCUGUACACUAUGCACCACAAUAACAAUCAAUAAUAAACACACGCUGCUACACAAAAGUACAGAAUGGUGGGU